UGGGGAAUCUUCCGCAAUGGACGAAAGUCUGACGGAGCAACGCCGCGUGAGUGAUGACGGCCUUCGGGUUGUAAAGCUCUGUUAAUCGGGACGAAUGGUUCUUGUGCAAAUAGUGCGAGGAUUUGAUGGUACCGGAAUAGAAAGCCACGGCUAACUACGUGCCAGCAGCCGCGGUAAUACGUAGGUGGCAAGCGUUGUCCGGAAUUAUUGGGCGUAAGGCGCACGCAGGCGGAUUGGUCAGUCUGUCUUAAAAGUUCGGGGCUUAACCCCGUGAUGGGAUGGAAACUGACAAUCUAGAGUAUCGGAGAGGAAAGUGGAAUUCCUAGUGUAGCGGUGAAAUGCGUAGAUAUUAGGAAGAACACCAGUGGCGAAGGCGACUUUCUGGACGAAAACUGACGCUGAGGCGCGAAAGCCAGGGGAGCGAACGGG
Molecule: ribosomal RNA, 429 nt
Filed under: bacterium
Lineage: Bacteria
Description: partial 16S ribosomal RNA
Rfam family: Bacterial small subunit ribosomal RNA
Source: RNAcentral